RNAcentral lists this ribosomal RNA (479 nucleotides) under uncultured bacterium. RNAcentral describes it as "partial 16S ribosomal RNA". It matches the Rfam family "Bacterial small subunit ribosomal RNA", at positions 28 to 507 of the family's 1533-position model. The record is from RNAcentral.
GAUGAACGCUCGCGGGAGGCCUAACACAUGCAAGCCGAGCGGUAGAGUUCCUUCGGGUACUUGAGGGCGGCGUACGGGUGCGUAACACGUGUGCAACCUACCUUUAUCUGGGGGAUAGCCUUUCGAAAGGAAGAUUAAUACCCCAUAAUAUAAUGAUUGGCAUCAAUUAUUAUUGAAAACUCCGGUGGAUAGAGAUGGGCACGCGCAAGAUUAGAUAGUUGGUGAGGUAACGGCUCACCAAGUCAAUGAUCUUUAGGGGUCCUGAGAGGGAGAUCCCCCACACUGGUACUGAGACACGGACCAGACUCCUACGGGAGGCAGCAGUGAGGAAUAUUGGACAAUGGGUGAAAGCCUGAUCCAGCCAUCCCGCGUGAAGGAUGACGGUCCUAUGGAUUGUAAACUUCUUUUGUACAGGGAUAAACCUACUCUCGUGAGGGUAGCUGAAGGUACUGUACGAAUAAGCACCGGCUAACUCCGUG